UAGUAACGGCGAGUGAAGAGGGAAAAGCUCAAAUUUUGAAUCUGACGUCUUCGGCGUUCGAGCUGUAAUCUAGAGAAGUGUUUUCCGUGUCGGACCGUGCACAAGUUCCCUGGAACGGGGCGUCAUAGAGGGUGAGAAUCCCGUACGUGGCACGGACUCCCGGUGCUCUGCGAUACACUCUCAACGAGUCGAGUUGUUUGGGAAUGCAGCUCAAAAUGGGUGGUAAAUUCCAUCUAAAGCUAAAUAUUGGCGAGAGGCCGAUAGCGAACAAGUACCGUGAGGGAAAGAUGAAAAGCACUUUGGAAAGAGAGUGAAACAGUACGUGAAAUUGUUGAAAGGGAAGCGUUUGAAGUCAGUCGCGUCUGUCGGGGUUCAGCCUGGCUUCUGCCUGGUGUAUUCCCUGUCCGACGGGUCAGCAUCAGCUUCGACCGAGAGAAAAAGGCUUGGGGAAUGUGGCCGUCUUCGGGCGGUGUUAUAGCCCUUUGUCGUAUGUCUCGGUUGGGACUGAGGACUGCAGCGCGCCUUACGGCCGGGGUUCGCGCCCUCGGUACGCGCUUAGGA
This 561-nucleotide ribosomal RNA is filed under the name uncultured Sebacinales. Its description in RNAcentral is "eukaryotic LSU rRNA". It matches the Rfam family "Eukaryotic large subunit ribosomal RNA", at positions 81 to 612 of the family's 3401-position model. The record is from RNAcentral. Lineage: Eukaryota; Fungi; Basidiomycota; Agaricomycetes; Sebacinales.